UCUCGGGGUUACAGCCUUGCUGAAUUAUUCACCCUUGUCUUUUGCGUACUUCUUGUUUCCUUGGUGGGUUCGCCCACCACUAGGACAAACAUAAACCUUUUGUAAUUGCAAUCAGCGUCAGUAACAAAUUAAUAAUUACAACUUUCAACAACGGAUCUCUUGGUUCUGGCAUCGAUGAAGAACGCAGCGAAAUGCGAUAAGUAGUGUGAAUUGCAGAAUUCAGUGAAUCAUCGAAUCUUUGAACGCACAUUGCGCCCUUUGGUAUUCCAAAGGGCAUGCCUGUUCGAGCGUCAUUUGUACCCUCAAGCUUUGCUUGGUGUUGGGCGUCUUGUCUCUAGCUUUGCUGGAGACUCGCCUUAAAGUAAUUGGCAGCCGGCCUACUGGUUUCGGAGCGCAGCACAAGUCGCACUCUCUAUCAGCAAAGGUCUAGCAUCCAUUAAGCCUUUUUUUCAACUUUUGACCUCGGAUCAGGUAGGGAUACCCGCUGAACUUAAGCAUAUCAA
This 503-nucleotide ribosomal RNA is filed under the name Alternaria sp. CJL-2014. RNAcentral's name for it is "eukaryotic LSU rRNA". The stretch from base 140 to 293 matches the Rfam family "5.8S ribosomal RNA". Lineage: Eukaryota; Fungi; Ascomycota; Dothideomycetes; Pleosporales; Pleosporaceae. The record is from RNAcentral.